UACAGAGGUCUCAAGCGUUGUUCGGCUUCAUUGGGCGUAAAGGGUGCGUAGGCGGCUCGGUAAGUCGGGUGUGAAAUCUCGGAGCUUAACUCCGAAACUGCAUUCGAUACUGCCGUGCUUGAGGACUGGAGAGGAGACUGGAAUUUACGGUGUAGCGGUGAAAUGCGUAGAUAUCGUAAGGAAGACCAGUGGCGAAGGCGGGUCUCUGGACAGUUCCUGACGCUGAGGCACGAAGGUCAGGGGAGCAAACGGG
This 253-nucleotide ribosomal RNA is filed under the name uncultured bacterium. RNAcentral's name for it is "partial 16S ribosomal RNA". It matches the Rfam family "Bacterial small subunit ribosomal RNA", at positions 524 to 776 of the family's 1533-position model. The record is from RNAcentral.